UACGUAGGGUGCGAGCGUUUAAUCGGAAUUACUGGGCGUAAAGUGUGCGCAGGCGGCCGCGCAAGUCGAGUGUGAAAGCCCCGGGCUUAACUUGGGAAUUGCGCUCGAACUACGUGGCUGGAGUGUGGCAGAGGAAGGUGGAAUUCCAGGUGUAGCGGUGAAAUGCGUAGAGAUCUGGAGGAACACCGAUGGCGAAGGCAGCCUUCUGGGCCAACACUGACGCUCAUGCACGAAAGCGUGGGGAGCAAACAGG
This 253-nucleotide ribosomal RNA is filed under the name uncultured bacterium. Its description in RNAcentral is "partial 16S ribosomal RNA". It matches the Rfam family "Bacterial small subunit ribosomal RNA", at positions 524 to 776 of the family's 1533-position model. The record is from RNAcentral.